GCCGAAGUGGUGAAAUAGGUAGACACAAUUGAUUCAAAAUCAAUCGUAGUAAUACAUGCCGGUUCAAUUCCGGCCUUCGGUA
RNAcentral lists this transfer RNA (82 nucleotides) under Serratia symbiotica. RNAcentral describes it as "transfer RNA Leucine". It matches the Rfam family "tRNA". From Rfam's summary of the family: Transfer RNA (tRNA) molecules are approximately 80 nucleotides in length. Lineage: Bacteria; Pseudomonadati; Pseudomonadota; Gammaproteobacteria; Enterobacterales; Yersiniaceae. The record is from RNAcentral.